Molecule: ribosomal RNA, 113 nt
Filed under: Klebsiella pneumoniae
Lineage: Bacteria; Pseudomonadati; Pseudomonadota; Gammaproteobacteria; Enterobacterales; Enterobacteriaceae
Source: RNAcentral
CCUGGCGGCACUAGCGCGGUGGUCCCACCUGACCCCAUGCCGAACUCAGAAGUGAAACGCCGUAGCGCCGAUGGUAGUGUGGGGUCUCCCCAUGUGAGAGUAGGGAACUGCCG